Molecule: long non-coding RNA, 354 nt
Filed under: Drosophila guanche
Lineage: Eukaryota; Metazoa; Arthropoda; Insecta; Diptera; Drosophilidae
Source: RNAcentral
GGUUGCCUGUGUGACUUUGGGGCUAGUCCCCGGCAUAAUCUGAAAUGCUUUAUGGCCUCAUCAAAAGUAAGUCUAUCAUUGGUUGUGAUUUUCUUGUGUUAAUAUUUUCACAUAUUAAGGUGGAUACCUCGUAGUAGUUGCCCAACGAGUCGUAUAAAUAGAUAAAAGGAAUGACAGUAUCCAUUUGACAAAACAACACAAAAAAUUCCGAUUUCUUUGGAAAAAAGAAACUAAAAACAAUUUGACAGCCAUAGAAAUUUGAAAUAUUCUGACUUCCUUUUGGCAACUUUACAUCUAAGAUCUAAAAUAAAAUUGGAAAGAUUUAACAAUAAUGGUGUGAUGAAUCGAUUCUCU